RNAcentral lists this ribosomal RNA (320 nucleotides) under uncultured Halomonas sp. Its description in RNAcentral is "bacterial SSU rRNA". It matches the Rfam family "Bacterial small subunit ribosomal RNA", at positions 1149 to 1465 of the family's 1533-position model. The record is from RNAcentral. Lineage: Bacteria; Pseudomonadati; Pseudomonadota; Gammaproteobacteria; Oceanospirillales; Halomonadaceae.
CUGCCGGUGACAAACCGGAGGAAGGGGGGACGACGUCAAGUCAUCAUGGCCCUUACGGGUAGGGCUACACACGUGCUACAAUGGCCGGUACAAUGGGUUGCAAAGCGGCGACGUGGAGCUAAUCUCAUAAAGCCGGUCUCAGUCCGGAUCGGAGUCUGCAACUCGACUCCGUGAAGUCGGAAUCGCUAGUAAUCGUGCAUCAGAAUGGCACGGUGAAUACGUUCCCGGGCCUUGUACACACCGCCCGUCACACCAUGGGAGUGGACUGCACCAGAAGUGGUUAGCCUAUCUGUAGGUCGGCGUGCACACCAACAGGUUGU